RNAcentral lists this transfer RNA (86 nucleotides) under Deinococcales bacterium. RNAcentral describes it as "tRNA-Leu". It matches the Rfam family "tRNA". From Rfam's summary of the family: Transfer RNA (tRNA) molecules are approximately 80 nucleotides in length. The record is from RNAcentral. Lineage: Bacteria; Thermotogati; Deinococcota; Deinococci; Deinococcales.
GCCGGGAUGGCGGAACGGUAGACGCCGCCGACUUAAAAUCGGCCGCCCGCGAGGGCAUGCGGGUUCGAGUCCCGCUCCCGGCACCA